This 300-nucleotide ribosomal RNA is filed under the name uncultured Gammaproteobacteria bacterium. RNAcentral's name for it is "bacterial SSU rRNA". It matches the Rfam family "Bacterial small subunit ribosomal RNA", at positions 114 to 423 of the family's 1533-position model. The record is from RNAcentral. Lineage: Bacteria; Pseudomonadati; Pseudomonadota; Gammaproteobacteria.
UGCUUGGGAAUUUGCCUUUAGGUGGGGGACAACAGUUGGAAACGACUGCUAAUACCGCAUAUUGUCUACGGACUAAAGAGGGCUUCGGCUCUCGCCUUUAGAGAAGCCCAAGUGGGAUUAGGUAGUUGGUGAGGUAAAGGCUCACCAAGCCGACGAUCCCUAGCUGGUCUGAGAGGAUGAUCAGCCACACUGGAACUGAGACACGGUCCAGACUCCUACGGGAGGCAGCAGUGGGGAAUAUUGCACAAUGGGCGAAAGCCUGAUGCAGCAACGCCGCGUGAGGGAUGACGGCCUUCGGUU